Molecule: ribosomal RNA, 119 nt
Filed under: Lepisosteus oculatus (spotted gar)
Lineage: Eukaryota; Metazoa; Chordata; Actinopteri; Semionotiformes; Lepisosteidae
Source: RNAcentral
GCUAGCAGCCAUAUCACCCUGCAACUCACAACUGGCAACCCAUUGAAGCAAAGCAGGGCUGAGCCUAGUCAGUACCUGGAUAAGAGAACUCCUGGGAGAACCUGUGGUUGCUACUGGAA